GAAAUGCGAUAAGUAAUGUGAAUUGCAGAAUUCAGUGAAUCAUCGAAUCUUUGAACGCACAUUGCGCCCUUUGGCAUUCCGAAGGGCAUGCCUGUUCGAGCGUCAUUACACCAAUCAAGCCUGGCUUGGUAUUGGGCGACGGGGUCGGUCGAACCACCCCCCGCCCCAAAGACCUUUCCGGCGGGGCGGACCGAAUCUCAGCGUUGUGCAAACGUGUCGCUGGCGAGACGGGACGGCCGUGCCGUUAAACCCCAUUUUCUUCAAGGUUGACCUCGGAUCAGGUAGGGAUACCCGCUGAACUUAAGC
Molecule: unclassified non-coding RNA, 306 nt
Filed under: plant metagenome
Description: partial contains 5.8S ribosomal RNA, internal transcribed spacer 2, and large subunit ribosomal RNA
Rfam family: 5.8S ribosomal RNA (bases 1-105)
Source: RNAcentral